GAUGAACGCCGGCGGCGUGCUUAACACAUGCAAGUCGAACGGACUUUUAAUGAAACCUAGUGAUUUAAAAGUUAGUGGCGGACGGGUGAGUAACGCGUGGGUAACCUGCCGUAUGCUGGGGGACAACAGUUAGAAAUGACUGCUAAUACCGCAUAAGCGCACAGUAUCGCAUGAUACAGUGUGAAAAACUGAGGUGGCAUACGAUGGACCCGCGUCUGAUUAGCUUGUUGGUGAGGUAACGGCUCACCAAGGCGACGAUCAGUAGCCGGCCUGAGAGGGUGAACGGCCACAUUGGGACUGAGACACGGCCCAAACUCCUACGGGAGGCAGCAGUGGGGAAUAUUGCACAAUGGGGGAAACCCUGAUGCAGCGACGCCGCGUGAGUGAAGAAGUAUUUCGGUAUGUAAAGCUCUAUCAGCAGGGAGAAAUGACGGUACCUGACUAAGAAGCCCCGGNUAACGUACGUG
This 467-nucleotide ribosomal RNA is filed under the name uncultured bacterium. RNAcentral describes it as "bacterial SSU rRNA". It matches the Rfam family "Bacterial small subunit ribosomal RNA", at positions 28 to 507 of the family's 1533-position model. The record is from RNAcentral.